Long non-coding RNA from Odocoileus virginianus texanus, 532 nucleotides. RefSeq lists it as uncharacterized. Lineage: Eukaryota; Metazoa; Chordata; Mammalia; Artiodactyla; Cervidae. The record is from RefSeq and is a predicted model, not a curated record.
CUGAAUUCUGGAGUGUGUGUGCAGAAUGCCCUACUCAUGUCCAUGCCCACCUGUCAAAAUCUUACCUGUCUAAGAUGCAGAUUUCACAUCAGCAAGAAGUUGAGGAACUAGCCCAGGGCCACACAGGGGAUCCAAGGAGGCCACUCAUCGCAGAGCAAUGCAAAUGGAAGAUAAUCAUAGGAAAGGAUGCUCAGACUCAAUGGGAGCCAAAGAAAUGAAAAUCAAGACAACAGUGAGCUAUCACUGUCUACCCAUCAGAGGGCUAACAAUGACAAGGAAGCAACAACUCAUGCUGUAGGGAAGGGGGGACAGGUACUCUCACCAACUGCUAAUGGGAAUAGAACUAUUUUGGGGAACAUCUUCUGGAACUAUCUAUCAAAAAUAAAAAAACCAUACCCUUCAGCUCAGCACUUUUACUCUUGGGAAUCUCCCCAUGGGAAAUAAAAGCAGUAGUUCACAAAGAUACACACACAUAUACAAGGAUGUUUAUGGAAGCAGUUUAUGGAUGUUUAUAGAGAUAUUUAUUUGUAAA